AUUGAACGCUGGCGGCAGGCCUAACACAUGCAAGUCGAGCGGAUGAAGGGAGCUUGCUCCUGGAUUCAGCGGCGGACGGGUGAGUAAUGCCUAGGAAUCUGCCUGGUAGUGGGGGAUAACGUCCGUACACGGGCGCUAAUACCGCAUACGUCCUGAGGGAGAAAGUGGGGGAUCUUCGGACCUCACGCUAUCUGAUGAGCCUAGGUCGGAUUAGCUAGUCGGUGGGGUAAAGGCCUACCAAGGCGACGAUCCGUAACUGGUCUGAGAGGAUGAUCAGUCACACUGGAACUGAGACACGGUCCAGACUCCUACGGGAGGCAGCAGUGGGGAAUAUUGGACAAUGGGCGAAAGCCUGAUCCAGCCAUGCCGCGUGUGUGAAGAAGGUCUUCGGAUUGUAAAGCACUUUAAGUUGGGAGGAAGGGCAGUAAGUUAAUACCUUGCUGUUUUGACGUUACCAACAGAAUAAGCACCGGCUAACUUCGUG
This 484-nucleotide ribosomal RNA is filed under the name uncultured bacterium. Its description in RNAcentral is "partial 16S ribosomal RNA". It matches the Rfam family "Bacterial small subunit ribosomal RNA", at positions 30 to 507 of the family's 1533-position model. The record is from RNAcentral.